GAUGAACGCUGGCGGCGUGCCUAAUACAUGCAAGUCGAGCGAACAGACGAGGAGCUUGCUCCUCUGACGUUAGCGGCGGACGGGUGAGUAACACGUGGAUCACCUACCUAUAAGUCUGGGAUCACUUCGGGAAACCGGAGCUAACACCGGAUAAUAUCUUGAACCGUAUGGUUCAUUAGUAAAAUGCGGUUUUGCUGUCACUUCUAGAUGGAUCCGCGCGGCAUUAGCUAGUUGGUAAGGUAACGGCUUACCAGGGCGACGAUGCGUAGCCGACCUGAGAGGCGGAUAGGCGGCCUGAGAGGGGGAACGCCGACAAGGGGCCUGCGGGACGCAGCAGAAGGGUACGGGACGCAGUAGGCGAGAACCUGGCGCAACAGGGCGACGUCAGAGAUAGAAAUGUCGCGAGCGUGAUACUGGGUUAUGGGGGGAGAACAGAUGUGGAAGGAGAUGUGGCCGGAUUGACGGUACCUGGUCAAGAAGCAACGGCUAACUACGUG
Molecule: ribosomal RNA, 497 nt
Filed under: uncultured bacterium
Lineage: Bacteria
Description: partial 16S ribosomal RNA
Rfam family: Bacterial small subunit ribosomal RNA
Source: RNAcentral